This 373-nucleotide ribosomal RNA is filed under the name uncultured bacterium. Its description in RNAcentral is "bacterial SSU rRNA". It matches the Rfam family "Bacterial small subunit ribosomal RNA", at positions 29 to 414 of the family's 1533-position model. The record is from RNAcentral.
AAUGAACGUUGGCGGCGUGGAUUAGGCAUGCAAGUCGCGCGACAAGGAACCUUCGGGUUCUGGAGGAGCGGCAAACGGGGUAGUAAGGCAUCGGAACGUACCCUCUUGUUGGGAAUAGCCGCGGGAAACUGCGAGUAAUGCCCAAUAAUCCCUACGGGGCAAAGGUCCGCCGCAGGAGGAGCGGCCGAUGUGAUACCAGCUAGUUGGUGAGGUAAUGGCUCACCAAGGCUUAGACGUCUAGGGGGUGUGAGAGCAUGGCCCCCACCACUGGGACGUGAGAUACUGCCCACGACACCUACGGGUGGGCUGCAGUCGAGAAUCUUCGGCAAUGGGCGCAAGCCUGACCGAGCAACGCCGCGUGCGGGAGUGAAGG